This 635-nucleotide ribosomal RNA is filed under the name uncultured bacterium. RNAcentral describes it as "bacterial SSU rRNA". The stretch from base 1 to 542 matches the Rfam family "Bacterial small subunit ribosomal RNA", at positions 338 to 873 of the family's 1533-position model. The record is from RNAcentral.
CCUACGGGAGGCAGCAGUGGGGAAUUUUGGACAAUGGGCGCAAGCCUGAUCCAGCAAUGCCGCGUGAGUGAAGAAGGCCUUCGGGUUGUAAAGCUCUUUUGUCAGGGAAGAAACGGUGAGGGCUAAUAUCCUUUGCUAAUGACGGUACCUGAAGAAUAAGCACCGGCUAACUACGUGCCAGCAGCCGCGGUAAUACGUAGGGUGCAAGCGUUAAUCGGAAUUACUGGGCGUAAAGCGUGCGCAGGCGGUUUUGUAAGUCUGAUGUGAAAUCCCCGGGCUCAACCUGGGAAUUGCAUUGGAGACUGCAAGGCUAGAAUCUGGCAGAGGGGGGUAGAAUUCCACGUGUAGCAGUGAAAUGCGUAGAUAUGUGGAGGAACACCGAUGGCGAAGGCAGCCCCCUGGGUCAAGAUUGACGCUCAUGCACGAAAGCGUGGGGAGCAAACAGGAUUAGAUACCCUGGUAGUCCACGCCCUAAACGAUGUCUACUAGUUGUCGGGUCUUAAUUGACUUGGUAACGCAGCUAACGCGUGAAGUAGACCGCCUGGGGGNGGUACGGUCGCGAGAAGUAAACGUACGAAGUAGUAGUUAGUACGGACGUAGAGACGUUGCCGACGGACGACGACGAGGGAGGAGGG